UCUUUUCCUGUCAGGGCAAGAAAAACCUGCAGUGAGAGGCUGUCCACACAAGAGCAGUGACUCUCAGAUAUUACCACAGCAGCAAAGGUGAAAACCAACAGAUUUGGAGUACACUUUCAUCAAACCUGAGGCCUGGAGGAACAGCAGGUGCCUGCAUGUUGUCUGUGGAUUCUUCAGCAGAAAAGACAUCUGUUCAUUGCCCAAGAUUUUGCUGACUGUCAUCCAAAGCAAUCCCAUUAUGAACAGGUCAUCCAAUUUUUAAUGGCUGGGACAUUUUGUGAACACUGAAAACAGCAAGUAAGUGGUUGUGCAGCAUUUGAUGAGAGAGAAAUCUCCCAGCCUGAGUAUCUGGAUGAGGAAAAAUGAUGAUGAAAUAUUCAUUACACUAGAAUUCCCUUUUAUCCUCUCCCCAGAUAAUGUAAGCAAAGUCUACUUAUCUUUAUAGAUACAUCUUAAAUGUCUCACCUACUCUUAAUUCUUUCCACACAUUCUCAAAGAAGUGUUGAUUAUCCCCUCCUUUUGGGUAAACCACUACAUCUUGUUAUUCUAGCACCUGUCAUAGUAUGUUGCCAAUAUUUGUUUACAUUUAUUUCCACUUCUAGGCUAUGCAAUUAAUAGUGUCAUUUAAUCUUGGCAUCUCUAGCAUAUAAUUCCUGGCACAUAGAAAACUCUUAGCAAAUACCAAAUGAAUGAAUGAAUGUAUAUACAUAUUAUUCUCUUCUUGUAAACAUAAUAGUAAGCCUUACUCUGUGCAACAUUUUUUUUUCUAAAACAGAGUGAACUUUAAGUUUUAUGUAGGAUCAGUAGUUAAGUGUCAUGAUAUAUGCCUAGUAAGAGUUGUGACUCUAUGGUCUUAUAUAACCAUAUAAGUAUUUCCUACUUAUUUCCUACUUGGUAUAAUUUUUUGUGUCUGUAGAAGGCUCUUUGUAACCAAAUAUUCUUCACUCCAACUUCCAGGAUACCUGAAAUUCUAUUAUACAAACAUUUCAGAUAUUAAAGAAUGCCAAGAUGAAAAGUUAUGAACAUCAUGAUUGGAAGCCUUGGUGUAAGGGAGAUGGGAGAGAGAGAGAGAGAGAGAGAGAGAGAGAGAGAGAGAGAGUCACACAUUUCAACAUAAAUUUUGAAUACGUUGCAAGUUUAACCUCGUUGUAAACUAGUACUUUGUAUAGAGUAAAAGUAGUUAAAAGUGCUUGUAUUAUUCCUUUAGAAUCAUUCUAUUUUGUAAUUCUUCUGUUAACAAAAGAUAUUGCUUUUUUUUAAAAAAAAAAGAGAAUUAUAAUACUGAAGUAGAGUCAGUGAGUAUUCAUUCCUAGUCAUAUAUUUAUGUCCUUCUUCCUAGAACCACAUACCACUUUCCCAAUGGCCCUCUCUAACAUAGUACCAAACACUUUGAUCUCCAUCUUCUUAUCAGGGAAGAGCUGGAAUUUGCCUUCAUCUUGGACACUCCUGAAGGCUGAUAAAGAGUGCAUGGAGCUUUGUAAAGAAAAGAGAACCAGGCAUUCCAAAGUGCCCAGAUGGCAAUCAAAGAAUAUAGGUCAAUUGCUACACAUGUCCACUGGCAAGAAUAUGACCCUAUUGGGGACCAGGAGCUCAAACUGUACAGAAUCCAGAGUUGUGGGAAGACCAGCAGGCUGGAGACUCAGAGAAAAGUUGAUGGUGCAGUGUUGAGUCCAAAGACUGUCUAUAGGAAGAAUUCUAUAAACACUGAAGAAGACUUCAGUGUUUUCUCUUGAUGCCUUCUGCUGAAUGGAUGAGGUCCAUCAACAUUAAGGAAGAAAUAUUGGCCUGAUCUCUGCCUUCGUCUUCACAUGACAGUUUCCCUGCGUGCAUUUCUGUCUCCAGUUUUCCCCUUUUAUGAGGACACCAAUCAUAUUGGAUCAGGGGCCUACUCCACUGCGAUAUGACAUCAUCUUACCAUUACAUCUGCAAUAACCCUGUCUCCAAAUAAGGUUACGUUCUGAGGGACACUUAGGUAUCAAAGGCAUUGCAGAAAGCACUGUACUUCACUAUCUCAAUGUAUCUUAAGACUUCAAAAGAUACAAGGUUUCCCUCCAUCAAGGUUAAGUACAUCUCGAAGUCUCCAUGUUCAGUGACUUGGAACAGCAAACUAGAAGUACCGUACUCUGUACCAAGACUGCCUCUCGGCAGAGAAUGGUGUAUAUGAGCAGCCCGUUUUCCAGAUGCAUCCUAGAUGUGAGACUCCGUCUAGGUCAAGCAUAAUGAUUCUGAUGAAAAGUGAAGGAUUCUACUGUAUGUAAUUGGACUUUGACAGAACAGUUUUGCAUAAAGAGAAGGUUAUUAUUGAAACUUGGCCAUGACAAAGAAACUGGUACAGCUUACUUUUGUCAUCUAGUCUUAAAUUCAUCAACUUUGGUUUAAGAACGGUUUUGAUACCACAGUGAAGAAGAAAAGAUUGCUAGUUUGAGGUCAUUAGACAUGAACCGCUUGAACGAAAGAAAAAUGAGUCGUCUAAAAUGGCUACAGAGGAGGAUAUUGUUUGUAUCAGCAUGGAACAGAAUGAGCCGCCUCAGAAAACUACAAGAAUCCCAAUUAGACAAAUUUUUCCUCUGGAUGGAAACUGGUAACAAAGAUAAAGGAGUCCAAUAACGAACUCUUUAUUUUUCUUUCUCUUGACACACCCCCUCUUUCGUAUCAGGCACUAAAAAACAUGCCUGCCCUAAAAUCUUGAAUAUUGAGCAUUUUGAUGUUUCCUCCCUUUUUUCUAAGAAUUUAACAUUUCCCACAAUUUUAUAGCACUGAUAACUAUCACUCCUGUCCCCUGAUAAUCUCAGUUCCAUGCAACUUGUAAAAGGCAGUCUGACCCUGAGACUUCAUAGUGGGUGGCAGAUGGCUUUCGUGAAUGCCUAUUUCUGCUAUUAAAAUAAAAUGACAGGAAACACCACAGAGAAGUUUCUUUUAUUUGAAAAAAAAAUGAGGGUUGUCAUAUGAUGUGAAAUACAAAUCUAAGGGCUUUGGCAGUCACUAACCUCACGUAGCAUGGUUAUCACUGGAAGGUAAAUGUAACAUCCACCUCCAGGUCUCCGUGAAAGAUGCAUUGUGCGAAAGGCAAGACAGUGCUUUCUGGCCCAGUACUUACACGUGUAGCAAUUUAUUAUAUGAAAAUGCAGAGUGCAACUCAGACAACUUGUGAGCACUUAUUGAAGUUGCCAGGCAAAAAUAUUUUCCUCCAUGCUUCAUUAGCAUUUUCUGGUUUAGACCAGCUGAUCUUUUUGAAUUGGGCUGCAUGAAUCAUCACAUCCAGUAUGUAAAUUUCAUACGUAUAUUCAAAUAUUUUUCCUUUCAAAUUGGAACCAGAAUUCAUAUUAUAGCCAAUAUAGUCUGGAAAAAAAAAUAAAAAGUCAGGUUGCUGUCCUUUGUUCCCUCCACACAUCUAAAAAUUCUAAGAGCCUACAAGCUUAAUGUGGAGAGCAUCAGGGAUGUUUUCAAUAGUCAAGAGUGUCACUCAUUCUACUUUUUCAAAGUUCUUAGUUCCCAUUAAUAAUUUUAUAUACCAUAAUCAUUCACCUUGAACAUUUGCUAAUACGUUUAAAAUGCCAUUCUCUACUUAAUUGUUUCCAACAAGCGCUUUUAUUGAACAUCCACCAGGCAAAAAUGUACCAUUUCGAGUGUUCUGGAACCUCCUGCUUUCGUUUAUUAAUAACUCCCAAACAGAAUGUCUGCUUUAGACAUUAGUUUCCGAAAUAGAAUCGAAUCUUAAUUAGUUCAAGAGAAACUCUACUUAAGUAGUCUUAGAGAAAAUGCGCUAAUUUCCCCUCUAAUAUAUCCUCCUGUUGUUUGACUGUGAUGAGAAUGGUCUUUUAAAAGAGGCCUCAGGUGUGAAACCAACUGUUCAGGCUCAUUGUCAGCUGCUGGUUUCUAGAGUAUUAAUUCAAAAUUAGUGAAAAUAUAAGACUAUGUCUACAUUGGCCAACUCUAUUGCAAAAUUGAGCAAUUUUCAGUCAAGGGUGCAGCAUCCUCUACAAUGCCCUUGAGGAAGAUUCAGAAGCUCAUUCUAUUUCCAUCUGCUUCCAUCAUUAGAGAAUGCAGUUGAUUGAUUCAACCUCACUAACAAUAAGAACGGAUGCUGUUUAACUAAAAGGUGCCAUUCUAGAAUUUCAUGGAUUCACCUGUUGUCCCCUAGUAGGUCUAUGAUAAUCUGAGAAAGCAGCUAGACCGGACCCUUGCAAGAGGGUUUGUGUCCUACAUGUUGAAGACUGAAGAGGACUCUGUUAAGAAUGCCAGCUCCCAAGUAAAAUAUGGGCAAAACUGGUUGGAGUUGAAGUCUUCCUUGUAAAGAGGUGCUGCACAUUUGAGAAGUCAGCACCACACAGAUCCUCAGACCAAGCUACCUUCAUCGAUUAUGCAAUCCGUAACUCUGCCUCAAAUAAAAUCAACAGGAAUUUCUUUUAGGCUUUAUAAAUAACUGAAAACAAAGCUUAAACUUAGCCUUGGAUGAUGAAACUAUUUUUUUUCUAAAAGCUUCUUUGUGGCCACACACACACACACACACACACACACACACACAUUAUAAAAAAUGGAAGAAAAAGUUGUUUUAUAUUUCUGCUUACACAGAAAUCAUAUUAUUGUACAGAGUAAAACAGUAAACUUAGCUUUGGGGCUCAAUUGAGACUUGUUUAAUUGAUUGUUCAGAAUACAGAUAUUCAAGAAUAUUACAGAAAGUUUCAUUAUAACUUACUAAUCAAAAUACUAUUUUUUGGUCAUUUUUGUUUGUUUGUUUUGGCCAAAUACAAAAUGGCCAUUAUUCUAGUACAAAAGGAAAUGUUUGGGGGAGUUUACUGAACACAAAAAAAUCAAGUGAUUACUAGAGUUAUUUGAGCUUAUAGCUGUCCUUCAGUUGAGAUUUCCAGAAAUAUCUGCCAUAAAUUUUAUUCUGCAUUUUAGAUUAAGAAGGCAGUGUUUAUUUCUGAUAGGGUCAAUGUAUUUGCAGAAAAGGAAAGAAAAUCUCUAUAUAACACUUAGGUCAAGUUUGCUAUUUUGAGCAAUAAAUGUCGAUGUUAUAAUAACAUAAUUUUUCUCCAUAAUACUAACCUUUUGAGAAAAGAAAAGCCUUCUUGUUGUUAAGCUGAUCAGUUCUGUCUGGGUAAACAGGACUUAAUCAUGUAGCAAUUACUUGUUUCAGGAAGACUCUCUGUUAUUUGUGUUGUGUUAAUCCACAUCAAAAUAAAAUAGCCUUGGAUAGGUAA
Felis catus (domestic cat) is the source of this 5204-nucleotide long non-coding RNA. RefSeq lists it as uncharacterized. The transcript is spliced from 10 exons. The record is from RefSeq and is a predicted model, not a curated record. Lineage: Eukaryota; Metazoa; Chordata; Mammalia; Carnivora; Felidae.